Dermochelys coriacea (leatherback sea turtle) is the source of this 1010-nucleotide long non-coding RNA. RefSeq lists it as uncharacterized. The record is from RefSeq and is a predicted model, not a curated record. The transcript is spliced from 2 exons. NCBI's taxonomy places the organism in Eukaryota, Metazoa, Chordata, Testudines, Dermochelyidae.
CCGAGCCGCUGCCCAGCCGUGCCUCAUAAACCUCCUCACUCCCCUCCCAGAUCGCUCCGCCCCCCACCCCCGUCGCUGAAGUAGGAACUAGUUCCGGCUCUUCGCUCUCCUGCCUACAAACCCUGCCCCCAUCUCGAAUCUGUAGCCGCACUGUCCCCAGGCUCCCUCGGAGGAAAGCGUCGGACACGGGAGAGCGGGAGGGUUCCUCUUGGGGGAACGGCGGGAGCAAGGGCGAGCAUGGCGCUACUUUUCCUGGCGGAGGAACAUUUAGAAAAGUAUCUGUGGCGAUGAACAAGGGACGGCGGGCGCUGAUUGGCGGGUUCGUACCUGCAAUGCGUCACUUCGGACAUGCACAGUCGGGGCUAGAAGCGACGCCCUCCCGCUGCACCGGCUGGGGGCGGGGCUUGGCGCCUACAUUGGCUCCAGAGCGGGGUUUGGGUCGGUCGGGGCCCAGGCAGAGCGGGGCCGGCUGGGCCCUUAGUGACUGCAUUGCGGCUCCGUCCCCGCCUCCCGGCGCAGUUGCUAUGGCAGGAGAACUCCCCGCUCCGCCCCGCCCGGAGAGUCAGGCUGUAGCUGGUUGGGCAGGGUGAGUCAGGCCCACCGCUCUCUUCUCCCACGCAGGCCUCGCCUGUGCAUUGGACUUCGGCUGAUCUAGAUACCUCGCCCAGGGCUGUGAGAAGUAUCAUGCCCUGUGCCGUGUCCUUAGGUCGACCUAGCCCGUGGCAGCUGCAGCCAGCACCUCUCCAAGGGCGUGGAUUUGCUGCCAGGGGAAGACCUCUCGGUCUGUAGCAAGUGGCUACGCUCCCGUGUCGUCGCUGCAGCUGUGCUGGUGGGAAUUGCAGAGAGCGAGUCUUGCAGUUACCUGUCUCCUGCCCCCUUGAGGCCCUGCUGUCCCCCUGGAAAUGGGAUGUACUUCAGAGGGGUCUCGGAUGACCAACCUAUCAACUAAAAACCUGUGACUUUUUCCCUCUGAACAAUUAGAAUAAAUCCCCAGGCCUGCCAAAUUCUCA